GACUGCGGAUGGAGGGCCGCUUUUCCCGCGAGGGAGGAGAGGAACUUCCGAACUUCACAAGGCAGGGUGCCGGUUCAAAGCCCUUCCGCUUUUUCCGUAAGGAAAAAGGAGGGGCCAUAAGCCGGGAGGCGGGGGCCAUAUCCCUCGUCGACGGAUAGCGCCACAGAGAACAUACCGCCCCUCACUUGGGCCGGGCUUGCCCGGGAAAAGUGAGUGGUAAGGGUGAAAAGGUGCGGUAAGAGCGCACCGCCCGCCGGGCGACCGGCGGGGCAGGGCAAGCCCCUCCUGAAGCAAGGCCAAAAUUGCGCCAGCAGAUUGCCCGUCUCGGCGUCCGCUCGCGGACGCCGGCGCAGAGUGGGCCGCAAUAGAUAAAUGGUCCUCCAGCCCCCACAUGCAGCAUGUGUGGGGGGGGACAGAAUUCGGGGUAUAGUCCGCAGUCUGAA
RNAcentral lists this RNase P RNA (443 nucleotides) under Elusimicrobiota bacterium. Its description in RNAcentral is "Elusimicrobia bacterium (groundwater metagenome) RNase P RNA component class A". It matches the Rfam family "Bacterial RNase P class A". From Rfam's summary of the family: Ribonuclease P (RNase P) is a ubiquitous endoribonuclease, found in archaea, bacteria and eukarya as well as chloroplasts and mitochondria. Its best characterised activity is the generation of mature 5'-ends of tRNAs by cleaving the 5'-leader elements of precursor-tRNAs. The record is from RNAcentral. Lineage: Bacteria; Pseudomonadati; Elusimicrobiota.